This is a long non-coding RNA of Hordeum vulgare subsp. vulgare (domesticated barley), 1005 nucleotides long. RefSeq lists it as uncharacterized. The transcript is spliced from 2 exons. The record is from RefSeq and is a predicted model, not a curated record. NCBI's taxonomy places the organism in Eukaryota, Viridiplantae, Streptophyta, Magnoliopsida, Poales, Poaceae.
UCUGGCGAGGCCCACCCUGCCCUGCAUCGGAUCUGACACGGCCACCUCCAACCUUCUUCCUCCCCACCCAUCACCAAGCGACUGGGCCUCCUACCACCUUCCUCUGUGGCCGGAGUACAUCAUCUGUGCUGGUGGUCUCCCCACAUGGGAGAACACCUACUACUUGGGUGAGAAGGGGGAUGCCAAUAGACGGGCAACUCCAUCGGAUCUGAUGCAUGGAAACAAAACAUCGUCAUCACGUCCACGUCCCAGUGCACUCCACAGUCUCCCCGGCUGAGCACCGAGGCAUGCCCGAGAAAAGCGAGAAGAUAAACAUGUGAGGUCACGAGGAGUCCUCCUUGAUCCCACUCCUUUCUUCGAUCGUCAACGGGUUCUCUGGCUUAUGUGGUAGGGCACCGGCCAUCGUAUCUCACCUCGACCCCAUGCGCCCUCCCCACUCAUUUCUUCUGGCCUUCUUGUCGAAACGGGCUUAACCUCGUGUCGACAAGGGUUUUCUUUUCUCUGAAGAAAAGAGGGGGAUCAAAAGGAGGUUCGUGUUUCUUCAGAGCUCGGUGACGCGCCAUGUGCAGUUUGCUCCUAGUCACCGCGCAUGUAUGCAAUACCACUUGCGCGUCUAUGGCGUGUCCAAGAAGUACAUCGAAGGGGCAUUCGAUGGUGAGCUGCUCCCUCUCAACGGCAAUAACAAAUGUUGUUUACCCACGCGGGUGAAGUUUGCCCCGGUUCUCAAUGGGGUUCGGUUGCCCUGGUGUUGAAGUGCGCAUGGAUUUUUUCUUAUCCUCGGGAGCAUGUCGUGGACGUGCAGCUCGCGGUGUACUAGAAAAAAGAAUGAAAAUUUUCUUUUUUGAAGUUUCACUUUGUUCUUGAAUGUGUGGGGAAAAUGUAUAUAGCGUUUGCACGCGUUUUUGAAUGUCUGCAUGUGUUUUGUUACGACACCAUUUUCGCUCUAGUUUUUAAACCGUUAGUCGGAAUGAGGCGUAUAAUAUACCAUUGGAUUGUUACGGAAAA